AGAAGCAGGACCCUCCCCAGAACCACAGUGACCUCACUGAUGAGGUCACAGACGACAUCAUGAACAUCACAACAGAUCAAAGAAGUUCUGAGGCUUUAACUGCUUGAAUCUCAACACAACAGUUAGAAUCCAAACGCUUCAGAUAUCUGGUGACGACAGGGAUGAGGAAAGUUUUCGACCAUUUCUUUCCUGGAAACGACUCGGACGUAAGUACCUCCCAGGAUUUUGAGAAAGAUUUGUUUUGGGACGGGCUUCCAACGGUUCCCAGAGAUAAAACUGACCCGGCUGGGGAAGUUUCUUCUCUCGAAAGUCCAAGCCGUUUCUCAAGCUCCAAGGAUGUUGACAGAGAUUUGUUUUGGGACGGGCUUCCAACGGUUCCCAGAGAUAAAGCUAACCCGGCUGGGGAAGUUUCUUCUCUCGAAAGUCAGAGUCGUUUCUCAAGCUCCCAGGAUGUUGACAGAGAUUUGUUUUGGGACGGGCUUCCAACGGUUCCCAGAG
Molecule: long non-coding RNA, 498 nt
Organism: Xiphophorus hellerii (green swordtail)
Lineage: Eukaryota; Metazoa; Chordata; Actinopteri; Cyprinodontiformes; Poeciliidae
Exons: 2
Source: RefSeq, a predicted model, not a curated record